Molecule: ribosomal RNA, 497 nt
Filed under: uncultured bacterium
Lineage: Bacteria
Description: partial 16S ribosomal RNA
Rfam family: Bacterial small subunit ribosomal RNA
Source: RNAcentral
GAUGAACGCUGGCGGCGUGCCUAAUACAUGCAAGUCGAGCGAAAAGACGAGGCGCUUGCUCCUCUGACGUUAGCAGCGGACGGGUGAGUCACACGUGGAUAACCCCCCUAUUAGACUGGAACAUCUUCGGGUAACCGGAGUACUUACUGGAUAAUAUAUUGAACCGCAUGGUUCAAUAGUGAAAGACGGUUUUGCUGUCACUUAUAGAUGUAUCCGCGCCGCAUUAGCUAGUUGGUAUGGUAACGGCUUACCAAGGCAACGAUGCGUAGCAGACGUGAGAGGGUGGUCGGCCAGACAGGAUCGAAGACACGAUCCAGACUCCGACGGGAGGCAGAAGUAGAGAAGCGGCAGCAGUGGGCGAAAGCUUGCCGGAGCAACGCCGCGGGUGUGAUGAAGGUGUGCGGAGCGUAAAACUCUGUGAGUAGGGAAGAACAAUUGUGUAAGUAGCUGUGCACGUCUUGACGGUACCUAAUCAGAAAGCCACGGCUAACUACGUG